CCCUAAUGUUGUCUGUGGUCAGUCCUGUAUCCGUAGCCUAGACAUAGUGUGUGAUUGAGGUCCGUAGCCUAGACAUAGUGUGUGGUUGAGGUCCGUCCCGUAGCCUAGACGUAGUGUGUGGUUGAGGUCCGUAGCCUAGACAUAGUGUGUGGUUGAGGUCCGUGGCCUAGACGUAGUUGUGGUUGAGGUCCGUCCUGUAUCCGUAGCCUAGACGUAGUGUGUGGUUGAGGUCCGUAGCCUAGACGUAGUGUGUGGUUGAGGUCCGUCCCGUAUCCGUAGCCUAGACGUAGUGUGUGGUUGAGGUCCGUCCCGUAUCCUAGACGUAGUGUGUGGCUGAGAUCCGUCCCGUAUCCGUAUCCUAGACGUAGUGUGUGGUUGAGGUCCAUGGCCUAGACGUAGUGUGUGGUUGAGGUCCGUCCUGUAUCCGUAGCCUAGACGUAGUGUGUGGUUGAGGUCCGUCCCGUAUCCUAGACAUAGUGUGUGGCUGAGGUCCGUCCCGUAUCCGUAGCCUAGACGUAGUGUGUGGUUGAGGUCCGUCCCGUAUCCUAGACGUAGUGUGUGGCUGAGGUCCAUCCCGUAUCCGUAUCCUAGACGUAGUGUGUGGUUGAGGUCCGUCCCGUAUCCGUAUCCUAGACGUAGUGUGUGGUUGAGGUCCGUCCCGUAUCCGUAUCCUAGAUGUAGUGUGUGGUUUCGAUUUGGUUUGGGUAGGUCUCACACACCUCAUGAGCCAUCAGACUCACUAAUAAUACUGCACACAUAUGAGGCUUUAUUGUUGCUAUCAUAUCUCUCUGACCUGAGUAGUAUAUUUGACUAAUGUUGUAUCUCUCUACCCUAUGUGAGUCUGAAGUAUAUUGUUU
Esox lucius (northern pike) is the source of this 857-nucleotide long non-coding RNA. Lineage: Eukaryota; Metazoa; Chordata; Actinopteri; Esociformes; Esocidae. The record is from Ensembl.